This 302-nucleotide ribosomal RNA is filed under the name Indirana brachytarsus (Anamallais Indian frog). RNAcentral describes it as "partial 12S ribosomal RNA". It matches the Rfam family "Bacterial small subunit ribosomal RNA", at positions 870 to 1339 of the family's 1533-position model. Lineage: Eukaryota; Metazoa; Chordata; Amphibia; Anura; Ranixalidae. The record is from RNAcentral. RNAcentral also lists the same sequence under 1 other name.
CGCCUGGGAAUUACGAGUAAGCUUAAAACCCAAAGGACUUGACGGUGUCCCAUUCCCCCUAGAGGAGCCUGUUCUAUAAUCGAUGAUCCCCGCUUUACCCUUCCACUUCUUGCUUNUUCAGCCUGUAUACCUCCGUCGUAAGCUUGCCCUGUGAACGCUUAUUUAGCAAGCCCAAGGAUCUUAUNCACCAACACGUCAGGUCAAGGUGCAGCCUAUGAAGUGGAAAGCAAUGGGCUACAAUUUCUAAAUUAGAACAAACGAAAAACUGCAUGAAAUACAGUUANGAAGGUGGAUUUAGUAGU